GGUGCUGAUGAAGCUGAAUGGCAAAGAAACCCUCACAGGAGGCAUUCGUGAUGCAUGCUGUCGCACGGGGCCUGUGGGAGGCGGGGGCUGUAGGGAAGCUAGGGUGCUGAAGUCUGAGUUGGGACCUGUCAGUGCUGAGGACGGAGGGGAAGGGCCUGACCACGUGACUGGUUUAGUCUUGCUGCAGAAUUCAAAUCUUAGAGCACAGGCAGUCCUGGGUGCUCCGAGACAGGAGGUGAAAGAACGCUGAGACUCCGGGUGGUGGAAGAGGGUGAAGCAGAGCUUUCCCAGGUACACCAAUCUGAGAAACCACAGUGGAAAAGAAUAUGAAAAAGAAUGCAUACUUUGCCGUACAGCAGUAACACAACACUGUAAUUCUGCUAUACUUCAAAGAAGAAGAAGAAAAAAAAGAUGGAAAGAUGGCUCUAGCCAAGGACUUAUUCUAAAAAGAGCACAACCCUGUCACGUCUGAGCAACAAUAAAGCCCAGAGCUGAGAUUUAUGGAAAGUUCUGGACACAAUAAAAAGGGCAAGAACAACAGUGGCAGCGCUGUGAAGCAGAGAGCGUGGCUUUGGGUGAGAACAGAAGAACUGGGGCUCGGCUUCUCUCUUGCUUCUGUUAUUUCUACCAAGCACGAGGAUCUGCAAGCUGGAAAGACUGAGACUCAGGAAGAUCUGAGGGCCAAAAUGAUGAAGCGACAAAGGAUGAGCCAGUGUGAGCUUCCGGCCUUGUUUUCAGAGUGAUUUCAGUAAACUAGGCCAGUGUAUUUCUUGAUCUUUAACAUCCCCUUUAUUAGGGAAGAAAACAUAGCUUGUUAUCUACCUCCAUGUUCUUCUAUUUCUAAACUCUUACAGCGUCUCUUUUUCAUUCUCUACGUUAUUUUUACAUACUCUAAUGAUUAGCAACAUGUCUUAUACUCUUUGAUGGGUUCAUGAAUGUUUAUUAGUUCACCAGGUUAUUUACUAAAUGAGAAACAAAUCAUUAAGAA
Long non-coding RNA from Bubalus bubalis (water buffalo), 988 nucleotides. RefSeq lists it as uncharacterized. Lineage: Eukaryota; Metazoa; Chordata; Mammalia; Artiodactyla; Bovidae. The transcript has 2 exons. The record is from RefSeq and is a predicted model, not a curated record.